GACAGAGGGGGCAAGCGUUGCUCGGAAUCACUGGGCGUAAAGGGCGCGUAGGCGGGAUGGCAAGUCGGAUGUGAAAUCCCUCGGCUCAACCAAGGAAGUGCAUCCGAAACUGCUGAGCUUGAGUACUUAAGAGGAUCGCGGAAUUCCCGGUGUAGAGGUGAAAUUCGUAGAUAUCGGGAGGAAUACCUAUGGCGAAAGCAGGCUACUGGACCAUCACUGACGCUGAUCUGCGAAAGCUAGGGGAGCAAACAGG
This 253-nucleotide ribosomal RNA is filed under the name uncultured bacterium. Its description in RNAcentral is "partial 16S ribosomal RNA". It matches the Rfam family "Bacterial small subunit ribosomal RNA", at positions 524 to 776 of the family's 1533-position model. The record is from RNAcentral.